RNAcentral lists this ribosomal RNA (403 nucleotides) under uncultured bacterium. RNAcentral's name for it is "partial 16S ribosomal RNA". It matches the Rfam family "Bacterial small subunit ribosomal RNA", at positions 29 to 526 of the family's 1533-position model. The record is from RNAcentral.
AUUGAACGCUGGCGGCAGGCCUAACACAUGCAAGUCGAGCGAGCGGCGGACGGGUGAGUAAUGUAUGGGGACUGCCCGAUAGAGGGGGAUAACUACUGGAAACGGUAGCUAAUACCGCAUACUAUCGGAUAACCCAUAUGGGAUUAGCUAGUAGGUGAGGUAAUGGCUCACCUAGGCGACGAUCCCUAGCUGGUCUGAGAGGAUGAUCAGCCACACGGGGACUGAGAAACGGCCCAGACUAAUACGGAGGCAGAAGUGGGGAAUAUUGGAGAAUGGGCGCAAGCCGGAUGCAGCCAGGCCGCGUGUAUGAAGAAGGCCCUAGGGUUGGAAAGUACUUUCAGUCGGGAGGCGUUACCGACAGAGGAAGCACCGGCUAACUCCGUGCCAGCAGCCGCGGUAAUAC